GACGAACGCUGGCGGCGUGCUUAACACAUGCAAGUCGAACGGAAAGGCCCUGCUUGCAGGGUACUCGAGUGGCGAACGGGUGAGUAACACGUGGGUGAUCUGCCCUGCACUUCGGGAUAAGCCUGGGAAACUGGGUCUAAUACCGGAUAUGACCUUCCAUGUAGUGUGGGGGGUGGAAAGAUUUAUCGGUGUGGGAUGAGCCCGCGGCCUAUCAGCUUGUUGGUGGGGUAAUGGCCUACCAAGGCGUCGACGGGUAGCCGGACUGAGAGGGUGGACGGCCACAUUGGGACUGAGAUGCGGCCCAGACUCCUACGGUAGGCAGCAGUGGGGAAUAUUGCACAAUGGGCGGAAGCCUGAUGCAGCGACGCCGCGUGGGGGAUGACGGCCUUCGGGUUGUAGACCUCUUUCGACAGGGACGAAGCUUCGGUGACGGUACCUUUAUAAGAAGCACCGGCUAACUACGUG
This 465-nucleotide ribosomal RNA is filed under the name uncultured bacterium. RNAcentral's name for it is "partial 16S ribosomal RNA". It matches the Rfam family "Bacterial small subunit ribosomal RNA", at positions 28 to 507 of the family's 1533-position model. The record is from RNAcentral.